RNAcentral lists this ribosomal RNA (664 nucleotides) under uncultured Clostridium sp. Its description in RNAcentral is "bacterial SSU rRNA". It matches the Rfam family "Bacterial small subunit ribosomal RNA", at positions 62 to 742 of the family's 1533-position model. The record is from RNAcentral. Lineage: Bacteria; Bacillati; Bacillota; Clostridia; Eubacteriales; Clostridiaceae.
UUUAAAUGAAACUUCGGUAGAUUUUAGAGGUGGGAAGCGGCGGACGGGUGAGUAACGCGUAUGCAACCUGCCCUUUGCAGAGGGAUAGCCUCGGGAAACCGGGAUUAAAACCUCAUAAAGCUCUGUUAAGACAUCUUAAUAGGGUCAAAGAUUUAUCGGCAAAGGAUGGGCCUGCGUCUGAUUAGUUAGUUGGUGGGGUAACGGCCUACCAAGGCAGCGAUCAGUAGCCGACCUGAGAGGGUGAUCGGCCACAUUGGAACUGAGACACGGUCCAAACUCCUACGGGAGGCAGCAGUGGGGAAUAUUGCACAAUGGGGGAAACCCUGAUGCAGCAACGCCGCGUGAAGGAUGAAGGCCUUUGGGUCGUAAACUUCUGUUCUAAGGGAAGAUAGUGACUGUACCUUAGGAGCAAGUCCCGGCUAACUACGUGCCAGCAGCCGCGGUAAUACGUAGGGGGCAAGCGUUAUCCGGAAUUAUUGGGCGUAAAGGGUACGUAGGUGGUUACCUAAGCACAGGGUAUAAGGCAAUAGCUUAACUAUUGUUCGCCUUGUGAACUGGGCUACUUGAGUGCAGGAGAGGAAAGCGGAAUUCCUAGUGUAGCGGUGAAAUGCGUAGAUAUUAGGAGGAACACCAGUGGCGAAGGCGGCUUUCUGGACUGUAACUG